RNAcentral lists this ribosomal RNA (424 nucleotides) under uncultured bacterium. RNAcentral's name for it is "bacterial SSU rRNA". It matches the Rfam family "Bacterial small subunit ribosomal RNA", at positions 355 to 796 of the family's 1533-position model. The record is from RNAcentral.
UAGGGAAUAUUGGACAAUGGGCGAAAGCCUGAUCCAGCAAUGCCGCGUGAGUGAAGAAGGCCUUCGGGUUGUAAAGCUCUUUCACCCGUGACGAUGAUGACGGUAACGGGAGAAGAAGCCCCGGCUAACUCCGUGCCAGCAGCCGCGGUAAUACGGAGGGGGCAAGCGUUGUUCGGAAUUACUGGGCGUAAAGGGCGCGUAGGCGGCUUGGCAAGUUGGGCGUGAAAGCCCUGGGCUUAACCCAGGAAUUGCGCUUGAGACUGCUGGGCUUGAGUGCGGGAGAGGUGAGUGGAAUUCCCAGUGUAGAGGUGAAAUUCGUAGAUAUUGGGAAGAACACCAGUGGCGAAGGCGGCUCACUGGCCCGCAACUGACGCUGAGGCGCGAAAGCGUGGGGAGCAAACAGGAUUAGAUACCCCCGUAGUCC